RNAcentral lists this ribosomal RNA (510 nucleotides) under uncultured bacterium. RNAcentral describes it as "partial 16S ribosomal RNA". It matches the Rfam family "Bacterial small subunit ribosomal RNA", at positions 28 to 507 of the family's 1533-position model. The record is from RNAcentral.
GACGGACGCUGGCGGCGUGCUUAACACAUGCAAGUCGAACGAAGAGCGAUGGAAGCUUGCUUCUAUCAAUCUUAGUGGCGAACGGGUGAGUAACGCGUAAUCAACCUGCCCUUCAGAGGGGGACAACAGUUGGAAACGACUGCUAAUACCGCAUACGAUCUAAACUCGGCAUCGAGGAUAGAUGAAAGGUGGCCUCUACAUGUAAGCUAUCACUGAAGGAGGGGAUUGCGUCUGAUUAGCUAGUUGGAGGGGUAACGGCCCACCAAGGCGAUGAUCAGUAGCCGGUCUGAGAGGAUGAACGGCCACAUUGGGACUGAGACACGGCCCAGACUCCUACGGGAGGCAGCAGUGGGGAAUCUUCCGCAAUGGACGAAAGUCUGACGGAGCAACGCCGCGUGAGUGAUGACGGCCUUCGGGUUGUAAAGCUCUGUUAAUCGGGACGAAAGGCCUUCUUGCGAAUAGUGAGAAGGAUUGACGGUACCGGAAUAGAAAGCCACGGCUAACUACGUG